Molecule: transfer RNA, 69 nt
Filed under: Ictidomys tridecemlineatus (thirteen-lined ground squirrel)
Lineage: Eukaryota; Metazoa; Chordata; Mammalia; Rodentia; Sciuridae
Description: Spermophilus tridecemlineatus (thirteen-lined ground squirrel) tRNA
Rfam family: tRNA
About the family: Transfer RNA (tRNA) molecules are approximately 80 nucleotides in length. Their secondary structure includes four short double-helical elements and three loops (D, anti-codon, and T loops). Further hydrogen bonds mediate the characteristic L-shaped molecular structure. tRNAs have two regions of fundamental functional importance: the anti-codon, which is responsible for specific mRNA codon recognition, and the 3' end, to which the tRNAs corresponding amino acid is attached (by aminoacyl-tRNA synthetases). tRNAs cope with the degeneracy of the genetic code in two manners: having more than one tRNA (with a specific anti-codon) for a particular amino acid; and 'wobble' base-pairing, i.e. permitting non-standard base-pairing at the 3rd anti-codon position.
Source: Rfam by way of RNAcentral
GGAGUUGUGGCUCAGUGGUAGAGCACUUGUCUAGCAUGUGUGAGGCCCUGGGUUUAAUUCUCAGCACCA